Molecule: long non-coding RNA, 708 nt
Organism: Polypterus senegalus (gray bichir)
Lineage: Eukaryota; Metazoa; Chordata; Cladistia; Polypteriformes; Polypteridae
Exons: 3
Source: RefSeq, a predicted model, not a curated record
CUUUUAAAUCGCGCUAGUUGUUUGUAUUGUUUUAAAAUGGUCCGACUUCAAAUUGAUUACAGCUUCAGAAGUGCAGGUUGCUUUGAGGUUGUUCGUGUACUAGAAAGGUUAGUUCGCGGGUGCCUUCUCGAGUAACCAAGAUCGGUACAUGCAGCGAGUUUUAAUAGAUACCGCACUUUGGUGUUGUUUUUGAAUAGAGAUGACUGACACAAUGGCCCCCUUCUAUCACAAAAGAAAUAAAUUAUUUUCUACAUCAUUUCCUCUUGGAAGUGAUUGGCUGAGACUGCUUAUGCCAUUUUAGCGUCCCAGUGAGCUGGAACUACCCUGGAAAUAUUGAGUGUAAGGACUGAACAAAGCCAGUUCAUCAUAACCCCCAGUCACUCAUAGCUGGUCAAUUUACAGACACCAAUGAACCAAACCCACCCAUCUAUGACAUGUGUGAAGAAAAAGGAGAACCCAGAGAAAACCUCAUGCACACGUGGGCCAGUCUAGGAUUUAAACUCACACUCCUGGAGGUGUGAGGCAGCAGAACUAAUAUUUUCUUUUCUCAUGUCAGGCUUACACUAAUUAGUUGUACUUUAAAGUUGCUAUGCUGUGACCACUUGUUAAAUUUCAGUACAGCAAACUGUAAAUAAUUUGUAUUUGGUCUUGUGAAGCAUGUAAAUAAUUAUUUCCCUGGCUUUAUUUGCGACCAAAGUGUGAAAGUAC